This 441-nucleotide ribosomal RNA is filed under the name uncultured bacterium. RNAcentral describes it as "partial 16S ribosomal RNA". It matches the Rfam family "Bacterial small subunit ribosomal RNA", at positions 338 to 795 of the family's 1533-position model. The record is from RNAcentral.
CCUACGGGAGGCAGCAGUGGGGGAUAUUGCACAAUGGGGGAAACCCUGAUGCAGCGACGCCGCGUGGGUGAAGAAGUAUUUCGGUAUGUAAAGCCCUAUCAGCAGGGAAGAAAGAAGACGGUACCUGACUAAGAAGCACCGGCUAACUACGUGCCAGCAGCCGCGGUAAUACGUAGGGGGCGAGCGUUAGCCGGAUUCACUGGGUGUAAAGGGAGCGUAGACGGCCGUGCAAGCCAGGAGUGAAAGCCCGGGGCCCAACCCCGGGACUGCCCUGGGAACUGUGCGGCUGGAGUGCGGGAGGGGCAGGUGGAAUUCCUGGUGUAGCGGUGAAAUGCGUAGAUAUCAGGAGGAACACCGGCGGCGAAGGCGGCCUGCUGGACCGCGACUGACGUUGAGGCUCGAAAGCGUGGGGAGCGAACAGGAUUAGAUACCCUUGUAGUC